UCUCCGUAGGUGAACCAGCGGAAGGAUCAUUAAUUAUAUAAGGCCACAGGCCAAGCUUUCCGAAAUGAUCAAGCUUGCUGUGUGAACCCGACCUACCCUUGCUUUGUGCGUACCCAUUGUUUCCUCGGCAGGCUUGCCUGCCAGUAAGACACUCUUAAACCCUUUGUAAUUGCAGUCAGCGUCAGAAACAACGUAAUCGUUACAACUUUCAACAACGGAUCUCUUGGUUCUG
This 232-nucleotide unclassified non-coding RNA is filed under the name plant metagenome. RNAcentral describes it as "partial contains small subunit ribosomal RNA, internal transcribed spacer 1, and 5.8S ribosomal RNA". The record is from RNAcentral.